This 56-nucleotide transfer RNA is filed under the name Dryobates pubescens (Downy woodpecker). RNAcentral describes it as "Picoides pubescens (downy woodpecker) tRNA". It matches the Rfam family "tRNA", at positions 9 to 63 of the family's 71-position model. Rfam says of the family: Transfer RNA (tRNA) molecules are approximately 80 nucleotides in length. Their secondary structure includes four short double-helical elements and three loops (D, anti-codon, and T loops). Lineage: Eukaryota; Metazoa; Chordata; Aves; Piciformes; Picidae. The record is from Rfam by way of RNAcentral.
AGCUCAGUCAGUGGAGCAUGAGACUCUUAAUCUCAGGAUUGUGGGUUCAAGCCUGC